AUUGAACGCUGGCGGCAGGCCUAACACAUGCAAGUCGAGCGGACGAAGGGAGCUUGCUCCUGGAUUCAGCGGCGGACGGGUGAGUAAUGCCUAGGAAUCUGCCUGGUAGUGGGGGAUAACGUCCGGAAACGGGCGCUAAUACAGCAUACGUCCUGAGGGAGAAAGUGGGGGAUCUUCGGACCUCACGCUAUCAGAUGAGCCUAGGUCGGAUUAGCUAGUUGGUGGGGUAAAGGCCUACCAAGGCGACGAUCCGUAACUGGUCUGAGAGGAUGAUCAGUCACACUGGAACUGAGACACGGUCCAGACUCCUACGGGAGGCAGCAGUGGGGAAUAUUGGACAAAGGGCGAAAGCCUGAUCCAGCCAUGCCGCGUGUGUGAAGAAGGUCCUCGGAUUGUAAAGCACUUUAAGUUGGGAGGAAGGGCAGUAAGUUAAUACCUUGCUGUUUUGACGUUACCAACAGAAUAAGCACCGGCUAACUUCGUG
Molecule: ribosomal RNA, 484 nt
Filed under: uncultured bacterium
Lineage: Bacteria
Description: partial 16S ribosomal RNA
Rfam family: Bacterial small subunit ribosomal RNA
Source: RNAcentral